AUGAACUUUUGCUCUCCAGUCAAGCAGAGAAAGAGUUACUGGGCUUCAGUGGCAGCCAAAGUUCAGAGGAUCAUGUGGCAAAAAGUUGUUUAUAGAUAUGACAUAAGGUGAUAGUGUGAAGAAAAUGUUGGUUUCCGUAUUAUUUUAUAUCCAAUUUCAUCUAUCAGGUUCACCAUUAUUUAGAUCAUUCUAUUAGGCAAUCAGCCUUGAAGACAUGAGAGAGGCAAAGAUUUAUGGUAG
Molecule: long non-coding RNA, 240 nt
Filed under: Elaeis guineensis (African oil palm)
Lineage: Eukaryota; Viridiplantae; Streptophyta; Magnoliopsida; Arecales; Arecaceae
Description: long non-coding RNA (EGUI_LNC024965)
Source: RNAcentral